GGGGGUGUAGCUCAGUGGUAGAGCACAUGCUUUGCCCCGGGUUCAAUUUCCGGCAUCUCCA
RNAcentral lists this transfer RNA (61 nucleotides) under Merluccius polli (Benguela hake). It matches the Rfam family "tRNA". Rfam says of the family: Transfer RNA (tRNA) molecules are approximately 80 nucleotides in length. Their secondary structure includes four short double-helical elements and three loops (D, anti-codon, and T loops). Further hydrogen bonds mediate the characteristic L-shaped molecular structure. tRNAs have two regions of fundamental functional importance: the anti-codon, which is responsible for specific mRNA codon recognition, and the 3' end, to which the tRNAs corresponding amino acid is attached (by aminoacyl-tRNA synthetases). tRNAs cope with the degeneracy of the genetic code in two manners: having more than one tRNA (with a specific anti-codon) for a particular amino acid; and 'wobble' base-pairing, i.e. permitting non-standard base-pairing at the 3rd anti-codon position. The record is from Rfam by way of RNAcentral. Lineage: Eukaryota; Metazoa; Chordata; Actinopteri; Gadiformes; Merlucciidae.